Molecule: ribosomal RNA, 292 nt
Filed under: uncultured bacterium
Lineage: Bacteria
Description: partial 16S ribosomal RNA
Rfam family: Bacterial small subunit ribosomal RNA
Source: RNAcentral
GUGACAGCAGCCGCGGUAAAACGUAGGUUCCGAGCGUUAUCCGGAUUUACUGGGCGUAAAGCGUGUUCAGGCGGUGUCACAAGUCGGGCAUGAAAUCUCUCGGCUCAACCGGGAGGGGCUGUCCGAUACUGUGAGACUUGAGGGCAGUAGAGGGUGGUGGAAUUCCGGGUGUAGUGGUGAAAUGCGUAGAGAUCCGGAGGAACACCAGUGGCGAAAGCGGCCACCUGGACUGUACCUGACGCUCAAACACGAAAGCUAGGGGAGCGAACGGGAUUAGAAACCCCUGUAGUCC